UACGAAGGGAGCUAGCGUUGCUCGGAAUCAUUGGGCGUAAAGCGCGCGUAGGCGGUUACUUAUGUCGGAUGUGAAAGCCCUCGGCUUAACUGAGGAAGUGCAUUCGAAACUGGGUAGCUAGAGUACUAAAGAGGGUCGCGGAAUUCCCGGUGUAGAGGUGAAAUUCGUAGAUAUCGGGAGGAACACCGGUGGCGAAGGCGGCGACCUGGGUAGAUACUGACGCUGAGGCGCGAAAGCGUGGGGAGCAAAAAGG
RNAcentral lists this ribosomal RNA (253 nucleotides) under uncultured bacterium. Its description in RNAcentral is "partial 16S ribosomal RNA". It matches the Rfam family "Bacterial small subunit ribosomal RNA", at positions 524 to 776 of the family's 1533-position model. The record is from RNAcentral.